GACAGAGGGGGCAAGCGUUGCUCGGAAUUACUGGGCGUAAAGGGCGCGUAGGCGGGAUGGCAAGUCGGUCGUGAAAUCCCUCGGCUCAACCGAGGAACGUCGAUCGAUACUGCUGUUCUUGAGGAUUGCAGAGGAGACUGGAAUUCCCGGUGUAGCGGUGAAAUGUGUAGAGAUCGGGAGGAACACCGGUGGCGAAGGCGGUUGCCUGGAGCUUUGCUGACGCUGAUGCGCGAAAGCGUGGGGAGCGAUCCGG
This 253-nucleotide ribosomal RNA is filed under the name uncultured bacterium. Its description in RNAcentral is "partial 16S ribosomal RNA". It matches the Rfam family "Bacterial small subunit ribosomal RNA", at positions 524 to 776 of the family's 1533-position model. The record is from RNAcentral.